RNAcentral lists this long non-coding RNA (954 nucleotides) under Astyanax mexicanus (Mexican tetra). Its description in RNAcentral is "lncRNA (ENSAMXG00005021524.1)". The record is from RNAcentral. Lineage: Eukaryota; Metazoa; Chordata; Actinopteri; Characiformes; Acestrorhamphidae.
UGGAGCAGCGGGGAUGAGAGGACAGAAGACAGGAGGGGUACCACUGGGCGGGGCAACCUGUUAAGGAUGGACGCCAACAACCAAUCAUAUUGCACGGGGGCGGAGUUUGCCCGAACACAGCUGAACUCUUCUACUCCACCGGCUUCGGUUUCUGUGGUAGAAACCACAUAUCAGCAGAAGAAGCCUUGAAUGGAGGAGUCUCUGGAGAUUCGAGGGCGGAGGAGGUGAAGCUCAACAACAGAGAGUCAGCAACUCAUUACUGCAGAAAUGCAGCACCCAGAGCAGCCGAAUCAAGACAUCACACAGCUCCUCAGCAGCUCCAGCAAUCAAUUAUUUAUCACAUUGGACCUCAGCAUUAAGAGCAAAGUCUCUCUUCUCUCACGAGUAUGAAUUAUCUUUCGGGUUCCGGUAUGUAGAGAAUGCGUCUAUACAAUGCAGUCAUGAUAGUCAAAAAGAGCGUGAUAUCAUUUAAAAUAGUCUAUACCCACUUUUUUAAGGUAUAAAUACAGUGGUGCAUAAACGUUUGUGCAUAAAUAGGACCUAAAACAUCAGCAAAUUUCCUAUUAGUAAAUUUUAAAAAAAUUACAUUUAUUUAUUGAGGACAAUAAUCCCAUAUUACAUAUUUGUGAGUGGCAAACAUACAGCUCUGGAAAAAAAAAAGAGAUUGAAAACUUUUAGAAAAUAAUCAAGAGAAAGAUCAAUGAUCACAAGCCAUCAAACCAAACUGAACUGCUUGAAUGUUUGCACCAGGAGUAAAGCAGCAUAAAGUUAUCCAAAAGCAGUGUGUAAAACCGGUGGAGGAGAACAUGAUGCCAUGAUGCAUGAAAACUGUGAUUAAAAACCAGGGUUAUUCCACCAAAUAUUGAUUUCUGAACUCUUAAAGCUUUAUAAAUAUGAACUUGUUUUCUUUAUAUGAUUUAAGGUCUGAAAGCUGUGCACCUUUUUAAUUAUUUC